ACCUUUUAACUCCUUAGCAGUUAUCCUACCACUAAAUCCAACUAUAUUACUCUUUUGUUGAGGUCCGAAGCACCUUUCUACAACCUCAAUGUUUGUAAGACACAAUUCAGAUAGCACAAAUUCUUUGAUUUUAUCCUGUAAAAUAAAAAAUUAUCUAAUUAAAGUAGUACAACACAAUAAAUAAAUAAUAUAAAUUGAAAUUUAACAAUAAACAUACAUAGUUCUCACUGGUUUUAGGUUCGACAAGCUUGUUGUUCUUCUUACGAGUCUAAAAAAAAAAAUAGUUGUCACAUUUGGUGAUUUACCAUCUUUACCUCCCUUCACAUUGCAAUAAACAAGUCAAAGAAAUCUUUGUAACAAAGAUGGGGUUUCUUAAUAGAACUAUAAGAUUUGCUCACCAUUUCAUAAUGAUCUCCCUAAUUGGUUUGCUACCCGUACGAUGAGGCAUACUCAACUUAAACCUAUUGACCGAGUUUCUUGUACUUGUCUCCUAAAUUAACAAUAUACCGGCAAAAUUUUGGUUUAGCCGCUUAAUAUAACACAAUGUUAAUAAAUAACUAUGAAAUCAUACCUUAAAUUUUUCAGUAAAAAAAUGCUCCUUGACCAGCCAUACCCAAUCACUCUUGUUUAUCUCCUUUGGAACAUCUUUAAUAGCAUAUCGGAAUGGCUUAGACUUAAUAUUCUUGUGCAUCGAUCCUCUCCAAUUGUUCCAUAACUUUCUCAUAUAUUUCAAGACAUUAUCUCGUUGAUCAUUUAUGUCAUCACUGUUAAAUUUGUCCAACAAUAGUUAGCAAGUAUUAUUAAAUAUGAAACAACUACAACAACAACAACACAAUAUACCCAGUGUAGUCCCUUGAAAGACAAAUGAAAAAAAAAGCCCAACUUCCCACAUUAUAUAAAAGGAAAAAGAGACUGAGUUAACAUAUUGUAUUAACAAGUAGAGAUAGAGAAGGCAAAUCAUUUCAAGACAUUAUCUUGUUGAUCAUUUAUGUCAUCACUGUCAUAUUAGCCCUACAAUAGUUAAUAAGUAUCAUUAAUUAUAAAACAACAACAUCAACAACAACAACAUACCCAAUAUAGUCCCUUGAAAGACAAAUGAAAAAAAAGCUAAACUUUCCAUAUUGUAUAAAAAGGAGAAGAAACUGAGUUAACAUAUUGUAUUAACAAGUAGAGAUGGAGAUAGAAUGUGUUGUAGCUUAUAUUCUUCGAUGUCUUCCCAUGAGUGUACAUGCAAUAGGCACAUAUUACGAUCACAGACCAAUAUACCUAAGUGUCUCGUAAAUGAGGCAUGAUGCUGCCCAACAACCCUAUUAUGGUAGAAAGUGACGCGCAACUUUUCUCCAGCUUUGACUCCUGCAACUUUUUUACACCUAUUCGUUCAUCUCAUUUUUUUACCUUUUCAGAAUCAUAUGACCCUGCAAAUUUAUAUUUGACCCAAAUAUAAGAUCUUGUACAAUAACAAUAAAAAAAAUCUUAUAGCUUGAGAUAAUAAAAUACUUAUUUCACUUCUCUGCGCGUCCUGCAUCUCUUCUUCUUCAUGAGGAAAAAGGGUAUCACCUUCAAAUAUUUGAUCAAAACCAGGAGGUGCAACAUUUUCUCCAACUCUGAGUCAGGCACCUUUUUUUUACCUAUUCAUUCCUCUCACAUUCUUUACCUUUUCAGAUUCACAAAGCCCUAAAAAUUAUAACUUAACCCAAAUAUAAAAAAUAGAUCUUGUCCAAUAACAACAAAAAACUCUUAUAACUUGAGAUAAUAAAAUACUAAUUUUACUUCUCUGUGCGUCCUGCAUCUCUUCUUCUUCUUGAGGAAAAAGAGAUAACCUUCAAAUAUUUGAUCAAAACCAGGAGGCGCAACAUUUUCUCCAACUCAGAGUCCUACACCUUUUUAUACCUAUUCAUUCCCCUCACCCUUUUAAACCUGAAAUUUACGAUCUUUAUGGUUGACACACUAGGAAAUAUUUGAUAAAAAAUUCAUUUGGGACCUUUAAGUUGUUCAAGAAACUGAAAAACCUAUGCUUCUUUUCAGGAGAUAAUGUUAGCAUGUCGUUGGUAAGUCAUAUUUAUCUCCAAUUUUUAUUGGAUGCAAUUCUUUCCUAAUGUUCAUUGUUUGCAAAUCCAACUGAGUGUUUAUGGUGUCUUUGUUUUUUCUUUUGAUAUUUAAGAUUGUUCCCAAAAUAUUAUCACAUAUAUUUUUCUCAAUGUGCAUUAUAUCUAAGUUAUGCCGCAAUAAAAGAGUUUUCCAAUAUGGCAGAUCAAAGAAAAUACUCUUUUUAUUCCAAUUAUCACUCCUACUCUCAUGUGAUAUUUUAAUCUUCUUCUUUGGAUCCUUUGUUAGUUGUAACCCAUCUAAAUCAACCACUUGACCAAGUAUAUCAUGACCAGACAACUGUUUUGGUGGUAAUCUUUUCUCCUUAAUGCCAUCAAAUGAUGCUUUAUCAUUCCUCCAUUUGUGAUUAAGAGGAAGAAAGCGUCUAUGGCCCAUAUAUCAUUGUUUUUUUAUAUAAUUUUGUAACCUAAUUGAGUGAGUUUCUUUAUUGCAGCAUGGGCACGCUAGUUUUCCCUUUGUACUCCAUCUAGACAAAUUUGCAUAAGCGGGAAAGUCAUUCAUGGUCCAUAAAAAAGAUGCAUAUAACACGAAGUUUUGUUUAAUUGACGCAUCAAAGGUCUCCACUCUAGAUUCUCACAAUUCCUUUAAUUCCUCUAUCAAAGGCUGGAGAUAGACAUCAAUAGCAUCUCCAAGACCCUCAGGACCAGGAAUAAUUAUCGACAAAAAUAAAAUUUUCUUUCUUCAUGCAUAGCCAAUGUUGUAAAUUAUAAGGAAUAAGUACCACAAGCCAAUUGCUAUAUGGAGUUUUGAAAUUUUCAAAUGGUUGAAAACCAUUGCUAGCAAGUCCAAGUCGAACAUUAUGAGGCUCGGAUGCAAAAGAUUGAUGAAGUUUAUCAAACGUUUUCCACGGUAUUGAAUCAGCUGGGUGCCUCAUUAUUCCAUCAUCAACUCUUUUGUCAUUAUUCCUCAUUACAAUCAUUCUUACAUGCAUCAAUCUUCUUGUAAGAAAGCCCUAGGUGCCGAAUUACCUUCUUUGCUUCGUAAUAUGAAUCUGGCAAGUUUGAUCCAUCCAGAAAUAAAUUUUCCUUCAAGAUCUUCAAAAACAUUGUAAAUGAUGCGUUACUCCACAUCAUCAACUCUUUUGUCAUUAUUCCUCAUUACAAUCAUUCUUACAUGCAUCAAUCUUCUUGUAAGAAAGCCCUAGGUGCCGAAUUACCUUCUUUGCUUCGUAAUAUGAAUCUGGAAAGUUUGAUCUAUCCGGCAAUUAAUCUUCCUUCAAGAGCUUCAACAACAUUGUAAAUGAUGCGUUACUCCAAUUACCAAUACUUUUGAUAUGAAGCAACUUUACCAAAGUAGAUUAGAAACUUUUGAAUCUUGGUACAAUGAUUGCUCAAAAUCUUUUAAGAUCCUAUAGAAUCUUUUGCUUCAAUAUUUUGUUUCUCCUCUAACGGCCCGUCACCAUCAUUGUUCAUAUUGUCUCCUUUGGAAGUGGGAUAUAAAUCUCUUAAAAUAUCAUGUAUUUCAUCCUCACCAUCACUCUCUUUAUUGAUCUUAUCACCUACAAAUUCAUAAUUCUGAAGAAAACUCACCUAAUAUUUCCCUAUGGUAAUACCAAAGAGUAUAAUUUUGGACCAUUCCGUGUACUUUUAAAUGUGACCUAACCAGCUCACGUGUUCCUGAAAUUGCAUUACAAUAUUUGACGCAUGGACAACGUAUUUGGUGUGUUUCUCCCAAUCUUUUAAAAGCAUAAUCAAGAAAGUUCUCCACCCCAAUAAUGUAAGUGUUAUCAAGUCGAUCAUGAAUAAGUUCCAUCCAUUGCUUAUCAGGUGCCACAAUCUGGUGUAUACACAAAAUUGAUAUACAUAUACAGUCAACCAAAAAAUAUUCGUAUGACAAUGAACAAGAAAUGAACAUAAGCGAACAAAAACAUAUUAGUCACAUUUACUAAGGAAUAUUAGUCAAUUUACUUUUGAAGAUUAUUUUAAUAAUGUUUGAAAUUUUCGGCAUCAAAGGACAAGCUUUGAUCGGCCAACUUGCACCUAGACAAUUGCUUAUUAGAGUUGACCAACAUGAUAGACUUCAUUAAUUCACUUGCGAGGUUAGUUAAAUGUUUUAAAUACAACGGUAAGGAGCACCAAAUUAGGGUAAUUUCAUGGUCCGUUGGUUUUAGUGUAAAGGAGAAAACGACGAAGGCAGCGGUUUGGAUUUCGUUGCCGAAUCUGCCGAUGGAGCUGAUUGCUAAUAAGGCUUUACUGUCUAUAGCUUCAGCUAUUGGUAGGCCCAUAGCCAUUGAUAAAGCUACUCAGAUCAAGUCACGUCCUAGUGCUUCAAGAGUUAAAAGUGAUUCUUGAUUUACUGGACAAAUUACCUGAGAAGUUGCGUUUGCAAUUUGUGGAUAAACAAACGGGCAAGCUUUUUGUAUUCUUUCAAGAUUUUGCUUAUGAUAACUUACCAUUAUAUUGUAACUAUUGCAAACAUCAAGGACAUGAUGAAAAAGCAUGUCGCAGAUUAAAUAAAAAUACAAUAAGGAACGUGCAAGGUGCUGAAGAAACUGUUGAUAAUGGUCGUGUAUUGCCUGCUGAAGUUUUGGCUUUAGCCGAGGAGAUAAGCAAGGUGCAAAAAUUACAAGGGGAUGCUAGAGAUUAUUUAAAUGCUAAGUUGCAGCAAAAAACUAAUGCAUCAAGUCAUGCUGAUAUUCCAGUUGAUCGAUCUCUAGCUAGAGUUGCCAAUGUAGUGAAUUUAGUUAGGGAAACAGUGAUGAUGAAGGGGACUGAUCAGGUUGUUAAUGCUGGAAAUGUGGAUGAAGGAGCUGUUUAGAAUCGAGUGGAACAUGGUUUCUCAAAAUGCUGGAAGACUGGUGCAAUACAAAGCAGCAACGGAUGUUUUUGGCGUGGAUAAUUCUAAUCCAAGUAAUACUGGGACUGUUGGUGCUGUGCAGAUUUUGAAUGAAAAAAGAGGCCUGGUUACUGGUGAUUAAAGGGCUGGUUUGCCCAAUGUUAAUGAUCAGCUGGACACCGCCAAAAAAGUGCAGCAGUUAGCUGAAGGUAAAGGAGUGGAAUUGAUAGAAAAAUCACAUGGUGAAGGUCGAGGAUCAUAUGCUAUUAAGGCCCAACGUAUACCAGCUAUUACUGGUGUUUUAAUAGGUCCAGGUGCAGCUGUUGGUGCUGAGCACACCAUGACUCCUACAGGUAUUGAUACUGGUGUUCCAAAGGUUAGAGAUCAGCUGGAUGCUACGAUCAUGCUAAUAUGGAGAAAAUUUCAGCUGGUCAAUUGUGUAGUGCAGCUGCUACAUAUGCGGGGAAUGCAACUGUCGAUAGAGCUACAAUUAUAUUUUGUAAUUCUAUGGCUAAAGGAGAUGGGCAGACAGCAGUACACAAUACAAAACCUGGAGAUUGGACAGCUGCUCAGUGAAUAAAUGCAUCUCCAAGCAACAAGAAUGUACCAGUUAACAGAAAUCAGGCUAAUACGUCAAAGGAAGUUAACACCUAUAACUCUUUUGACGAUUUGAUGACUGAACCAGUAGUCGAUGAUGCUGGACAGAAGGUGUAGCAGCUUGAAUGUGAGGCAGCCUCAAAAUCCAACCUUUCAAAGACCCAACAUAGGUUACAACAGAAGCAGAAAUCAGAAGUUACAGGUACUCUGUUAAAUGUCUCAGAAGACAUGGUUAUAGUCGACGAUCCAAAGGCUGUGGAAGUGACAGGAACACUUGCAGUAGAGGAGGAUGUUGAAAUUAAUUCAAUAACAUUAAAAGCUGUUUAUUCAAGCCAGCAAAUAGUUAUAUUUUCCAGCAGUAGCAAACGAGAUCACCCCAAUGAUAAUCUGCUGAAAAGUAUGGGUGUUCGAAAAAACAUUUCAGCGGGCAAUUUCGGCGAGGUUGUGAAGGGUGUUCGUGUACGUAUGUUCAGCCCCUCCAAGCUGCAUUUUUCUAGUCCUCAAGUGGAGAAAAUCAUCAAAGACACUCAGGUUGCUGUGAUGUUGAAUGCCAAUCCCAUGAUCAAGCAACCCUUUGUCAUUUUGAAUACAUCACGCAAGAAAUUCCUUCCCAAAGUGUGGAGUCGUUUGGUGAGCAUAGUGGUGGUUCCGGGAAACCUCUACUAUCUACAAAUAAUGAUAAAGAAGUGAUCCAAGGACAGAAGUCAAGACUUGAGGGAGAAGAUCAAUGAAAUAACAGUGGAGUGCAGUAGUAACUAGGAAAUCAAGUGGGAAGAAGGUUGUCUCGCCUAAGACUCAACCAACGGAUGCUCCACAAACUGCACCAAACGCAAUUACCAGUAUUAAUUUAUUUAAUGCUUUUGCAGUGGAGGAAACUAUGGGAGUAAACUCACCAACUUUAAAUAGUGAAGCAGGUGAACAAAUUAAAUCAUCUGCUGCUCUUGAUGCUGGUGCACAAACUGAGCUUUUGGAAGAUGCUACUGUAAAUGUGGUUGAUAAGGGGGAAGCUGAUACAGUAGCAUCAAAGCCCCAACAUGUGCAACAAGUUAAAGGUUGAGAUUGGACAGUAAUUAAUCGAGCUAAUACACCACCUAGCACAACAAAAACACAAAGGAAUAGAAAUCAAGUCGUUCCAGCAAGUUCAGCAGUUGGACGAUGUGGUGAUAUGAAAAAAAUCAAAAGCUCAGACACAUUUAAAACAUUGAAUAAUGCUGUGGGGAUUUUGCAGCAUAAGGAGAUAAGUGCAAAUUCAAAAAAUAGGCAAGAGAGGCAUAUAGGAAGUGCAAAAAACUAGUAGAAUUCUGGUGCCCGUUGUGGAGUAGCUCAUGAGCAAUCAAGCACAUAGCAUUAUUCAAGAACAUAAUAAUUAUUUGAGCAAUUAACAACCAAAUAGCAAAUAGAAAAAUCUAAUUCAAAAUAAGAAAGAACUGGAAAAAAGAACGAUGUCCUAAAGGUGCAACGGCGUCAAAUCGCAAUCACAAUCACAACCUAUAUCUAAAGGUGCAAACUCUCAGGGGACCUUCGUUUAUAUUCCUAUCCUUAGUCCAUAAUAAAGAAAGCGAACUGCCUUCUCUUUUCUUACUCAAUCCGCUGCCCCAAAACCUACUUAUGCUCUGGCCUCUAUCAUCCCUCCUCCUAGUUCAGAUCCCCUUUUCUAGCAAAAAAUUCACACGAAAAGGGUACAAUUUUAAUCGUACCUUGAUGAGAAAAAACUCGAGCAGUUGAUGUCGGAAGUGACGAGCAGUUUCCCUGAGCUAAACUUCCUUCCCUGACUUAGCGUUCAAAACAGUGGUGUUAGUAUUCAAAACAGAGAUCUUAGGGUUUUUUCUUUUUUUUUUUU
RNAcentral lists this long non-coding RNA (7318 nucleotides) under Nicotiana benthamiana. RNAcentral describes it as "long non-coding RNA (NBEN_LNC032267)". The record is from RNAcentral. Lineage: Eukaryota; Viridiplantae; Streptophyta; Magnoliopsida; Solanales; Solanaceae.